Molecule: ribosomal RNA, 470 nt
Filed under: uncultured bacterium
Lineage: Bacteria
Description: bacterial SSU rRNA
Rfam family: Bacterial small subunit ribosomal RNA
Source: RNAcentral
ACUCCUACGGGAGGCAGCAGUGGGGAAUAUUGCACAAUGGGCGCAAGCCUGAUGCAGCCAUGCCGCGUGUGUGAAGAAGGCCUUCGGGUUGUAAAGCACUUUCAGUUGUGAGGAAGGUGGUGUCGUUAAUAGCGGCAUCAUUUGACGUUAGCAACAGAAGAAGCACCGGCUAACUCCGUGCCAGCAGCCGCGGUAAUACGGAGGGUGCGAGCGUUAAUCGGAAUUACUGGGCGUAAAGCGCAUGCAGGUGGUUUGUUAAGUCAGAUGUGAAAGCCCGGGGCUCAACCUCGGAACUGCAUUUGAAACUGGCAGACUAGAGUACUGUAGAGGGGGGUAGAAUUUCAGGUGUAGCGGUGAAAUGCGUAGAGAUCUGAAGGAUACCGGUGGCAAGGCGGCCCCCUGGACAGAUACUGACACUCAGAUGCGAAAGCUGGGGAGCAAACAGGAUUAGAUACCCUGGUAGCACAGAG